RNAcentral lists this ribosomal RNA (254 nucleotides) under uncultured bacterium. RNAcentral's name for it is "partial 16S ribosomal RNA". It matches the Rfam family "Bacterial small subunit ribosomal RNA", at positions 524 to 776 of the family's 1533-position model. The record is from RNAcentral.
UACGUAGGGGGCAAGCGUUGUCCGGAAUCAUUGGGCGUAAAGAGCGUGUAGGCGGCCCGAUAAGUCCGCUGUGAAAGUCCAGGGCUCAACCCUGGAAUGCCGGUGGAUACUGUCGGGCUCGAAUCCGGAAGAGGUGAGUGGAAUUCCUGGUGUAGCGGUGAAAUGCGCAGAUAUCAGGAGGAACACCAAUGGCGGAAGGCGGCGAUCUGGGUCGAUACUGACGCUGAGGUGCGAAAGCGUGGGGAGCAAACAGG